This is a non-coding RNA of Triticum aestivum (bread wheat), 126 nucleotides long. The record is from Rfam. NCBI's taxonomy places the organism in Eukaryota, Viridiplantae, Streptophyta, Magnoliopsida, Poales, Poaceae.
UUAAUACUCUCUUCGUUCAAAAAAGCUUGUCCCAAGCUUGUUCUUCAAACAGAUGUAUCUAGCACUAACUUGAUGCUAGAUACAUUUAUUUGAGGGACAAACUUUUUUAGACGGAGGGAGUAUUAG